UUGCCCUAACACAAUGAAAGCCCUUCCUCUCGAUCAUCCUUAUGGCUCCUUGGCCAUGCCAGUGAGAAUUAGGGGGAAAUCUAACAAUAA
This 90-nucleotide small RNA is filed under the name Bacillus sp. SG-1. Its description in RNAcentral is "BsrC". It matches the Rfam family "BsrC". Rfam says of the family: The 301 nucleotide sequence from Kouji Nakamura has been trimmed to a highly conserved ~85 nucleotide long core to form this family. The record is from Rfam by way of RNAcentral. Lineage: Bacteria; Bacillati; Bacillota; Bacilli; Caryophanales; Bacillaceae.